Molecule: ribosomal RNA, 460 nt
Filed under: uncultured bacterium
Lineage: Bacteria
Description: partial 16S ribosomal RNA
Rfam family: Bacterial small subunit ribosomal RNA
Source: RNAcentral
CCUACGGGAGGCAGCAGUGAGGAAUAUUGGUCAAUGGCCGCGAGGCUGAACCAGCCAAGUAGCGUGAAGGAUGACUGCCCUACGGGUUGUAAACUUCUUUUAUAAGGGAAUAAAGUGAGGCACGUGUGCCUUUUUGUAUGUACUUUAUGAAUAAGGAUCGGCUAACUCCGUGCCAGCAGCCGCGGUAAUACGGAGGAUCCGAGCGUUAUCCGGAUUUAUUGGGUUUAAAGGGUGCGUAGAUGGGUUGUUAAGUCAGUUGUGAAAUUUUGCGGCUCAACCCUAAAAUUGCAGUUGAGACUGGCAGCCUUGAGUGCAGUUGAGGUAGGCGGAAUGCGUGGUGUAGCGGUGAAAUGCAUAGAUAUCACGAAGAACUCCGAUUGCGAAGGCAGCCUACUAAACUGCAACUGACACUGAUGCUCGAAAGCGUGGGUAUCAAACAGGAUUAGAUACCCCUGUAGUC